UAAUUCAUCAUAUAAUAAAAUGCUUCGCUGGGGCGCAGCUUGAUACGACCGCAGAGGUCGAACCCUGAACAGUUGGGGCAAGUAUGGACACAACAUUCAAGCUUGAUACAGCUCUGAAUUUGGAUUGUUAUUAAAUAUUUGACACAGCAUAGGUUUCUGACACAGAAAGAAUGUGGUCUAAGAACUUGAAUUUUUUUAAUUUACCUAUUAUGGUCCAAUGUCCAAAAUCAAAAUACAUGUUUAGAUUCAGCAUAUCAAAGAACCCCAUAUAUUCAAUUUUUGUUAAAAUCAAACAAAGUUUAAUUUUGGACUCCAACUUGGACAAACUUGAAAACUGGGCCCAUAAUCAAAAAUCUAAACACAUGUUUAGAUUCAGCAUAUCAAAGAACCCCAAGAAUUCAAUUUUUGUUAAAAUCAAACUAAGUUUAAUUUUGGACCCUUUGGACCUUAAUGUAGACCAAUUUAAAAAACGGGACUUAAAACUAAAAAUCUAAAUACACUGUUAGAUUUGGAAUAUCAAAGAACCCCAAUAAUUCAAUUUUAGAUGAAAUCAAACAAAGUUUAAUUUUGGACCCUUUUGACCUCAAUAUGAACCAAUUUGAUAACAGGGUCCACAAAUAAAAAAUCUAAAUACAUGGUUAGAUUCAGCAUAUCAAAGAACCCCAUAUAUUCAAUUUUUGUUGAAAUCAAACAAAGUUUAAUUUUGGACCCCAAUUUGGACCAACUUGAAAACUGGGCCAAAAAUCAAAAAUCUAAAUACAUGUUUAGAUUCAGCAUAUUAAAGAACCCCAAGAAUUCAAUUUUUGUUAAAAUCAAACUAAGUUUAAUUUUGGAUCCUUUGGACCUUAAUGUAGACCAAUUUAAAAAACAGGACCCAAAAUAAAAAAUCUAAAUACACGGUUAGAUUUGGAAUAUCAAAGAUACCCAAUAAUUCAAUUUUAGAUGAAAUCAAACAAAGUUUUAUUUUGGACCCUUUUGACCUCAAUAUGAACCAAUUUGAUAACAGGGUCCACAAAUAAAAAAUCUAAAUACAUGGUUAGAUUCAGCAUAUCAAAGAACCCCAUAUAUUCAAUUUUUGUUGAAAUCAAACAAAGUUUAAUUUUGGACCCCAAUUUGGACCAACUCGAAAACUGGGCCAAAAAUCAAAAAUCUAAAUACAUGUUUAGAUUCAGCAUAUCAAAGAACCCCAAGAAUUCAAUUUUUGUUAAAAUCAAACAAAGUUUAAUUUUGGACCCUUUGGACCUCAAUGAAGACCAAUUUAAAAAAUGGGACCCAAAUUAAAAAUCUAAAAACACGGUUAGAUUUGGCAUAUCAAAGAACCCCAAUAAUUCAAUUUUUGAUGAAAUCAAACAAAGUUUAAUUUUGGACCCUUUUGACCUCAAUAUGAACCAAUUUGAUAGCGGGGCCCACAAAUAAAAAAUCUAAAUACAUGGUUAGAUUCAGCAUAUCAAAGAACCUCAUAUAUUCAAUUUUUGUUGAAAUCAAACAAAGUUUAAUUUUGGACCCCAAUUUGGACCAACUUGAAAACUGGGCCCAUAAUCAAAAAUCUAAAUACACGUUUAGAUUCAGCAUAUCAAAGAACCCCAUAUAUUCAAUUUUUGUUAAAAUCAAACAAAGUUUAAUUUUGGACCCCAACUCGGACAAACUUGAAAACUGGGCCCAUAAUCAAAAAUCUAAACACAUGUUUAGAUUCAGCAUAUCAAAGAACCCCAAGAAUUCAAUUUUUGCUAAAAUCAAACUAAGUUUAAUUUUGGACCCUUUGGACCUUAAUGUAGACCAAUUUAAAAAACGGGACUUAAAAUUAAAAAUCUAAAUACACGGUUAGAUUUGGAAUAUCAAAGAUCCCCAAUAAUUCAAUUUUAGAUGAAAUCAAACAAAGUUUAAUUUUGGACUCUUUUGACCUCAAUAUGAACCAAUUUGAUAACAGGGUCCACAAAUAAAAAAUCUAAAUACAUGGUUAGAUUCAACAUAUCAAAGAACCCCAUAUAUUCAAUUUUUGUUGAAAUCAAACAAAGUUUAAUUUUGGACCCCAAUUUGGACCAACUUGAAAACUGGGCCAAAAAUCAAAAAUCUAAAUACAUGUUUAGAUUCAACAUAUCAAAGAACCUCAUAUAUUCAAUUUUUGCUAAAAUCAAACAAAGUUUAAUUUUGGACCCUUUGGACCUUAAUGUAGACCAAUUUGAAAACUGGACAAAAUUAAAAAUCUAAAUACACGGUUAGAUUUGGAAUAUCAAAGAACCCCAAUAAUUCAAUUUUAGAUGAAAUCAAACAAAGUUUAAUUUUGGACCCUUUUGACCUCAAUAUGAACCAAUUUGAUAACAGGGUCCACAAAUAAAAAAUCUAAAUACAUGGUUAGAUUCAGCAUAUCAAAGAACCCCAUAUAUUCAAUUUUUGUUGAAAUCAAACAAAGUUUAAUUUUGGACCCCAAUUUGGACCAACUUGAAAACUGGGCCAAAAAUCAAAAAUCUAAAUACAUGUUUAGAUUCAGCAUAUAA
Molecule: long non-coding RNA, 2495 nt
Organism: Mytilus californianus (California mussel)
Lineage: Eukaryota; Metazoa; Mollusca; Bivalvia; Mytilida; Mytilidae
Exons: 3
Source: RefSeq, a predicted model, not a curated record